AUGAGCUUUUAUUGCUUUGUUUCGACGCGGCAUCAUGGCUUUUGGAACCAAGUUGUUAAAGCUGCAUUUUGGAUAUUGAAUCAGUUGUUUCUGGAACGUUUUGCAGAUCACCAGCAAGAUCGAAAUCUCCUAAUGUUUCUCCAGCAAAUGGUGAAGCAGCAAGCCCCAAGAAGCAGAGCCCAUCUGGCUCACGCUCUCCUGAUGCGAAGCCUGAAUAAAAUUGCUAUGCUGUUAAAGGAUUCCAGAUGGAGUCAGGAGCUCUUCU
Zea mays is the source of this 265-nucleotide long non-coding RNA. RefSeq lists it as uncharacterized. The record is from RefSeq and is a predicted model, not a curated record. The transcript is spliced from 3 exons. Lineage: Eukaryota; Viridiplantae; Streptophyta; Magnoliopsida; Poales; Poaceae.